UCGCGAGCUGUGCGGUUGAUGU
This 22-nucleotide non-coding RNA is filed under the name Arabidopsis thaliana (thale cress). The record is from RNAcentral. Lineage: Eukaryota; Viridiplantae; Streptophyta; Magnoliopsida; Brassicales; Brassicaceae.